Molecule: non-coding RNA, 29 nt
Filed under: Mus musculus (house mouse)
Lineage: Eukaryota; Metazoa; Chordata; Mammalia; Rodentia; Muridae
Source: RNAcentral
UAGAUUUUUACAUAUUGCACAGAGGUGAU